UGCCUCACACAUGUUCACCAAUUUCAGGAUGCUGUCAAGUAUGAGAAUGGGCGUGAACUGUGUGGCUCAAGCAUUAUAGUGGAGUGGGCUAAAGGCAACCCAAGGCGACCUUUGGGAUAUGAUGAGUGCUACCGCUGCCACCGUCCAGGACACUGGGCCCGAGAUUGUCCUGAUGACCGGUCCUUCGGACCACGGAGGUCAAGUAGAAGCAGUCGAUACAGGUCACCAUCACCAAGGAGGAGAAGGGGGAGCUACCGAUCCAGAUCUAGAUCCCGAUCUCGAAGAAGUCGA
Long non-coding RNA from Haliotis rubra (blacklip abalone), 291 nucleotides. RefSeq lists it as uncharacterized. Lineage: Eukaryota; Metazoa; Mollusca; Gastropoda; Lepetellida; Haliotidae. The transcript is spliced from 3 exons. The record is from RefSeq and is a predicted model, not a curated record.